AGGGCUAUAGCUCAGUGGUAGAGCAUCUGCCUUGCGCGCAGAAGGUCCCAGGUUCGAUUCCUGGCAUCCCCA
Non-coding RNA from Podarcis muralis (Common wall lizard), 72 nucleotides. The record is from the annotation of a RefSeq genome assembly. NCBI's taxonomy places the organism in Eukaryota, Metazoa, Chordata, Lepidosauria, Squamata, Lacertidae.